GAAAAGCAGACAAUGGAUGCCUGGAGGAUGCUAAAGCCGAAGAAGGACGUACUAGGCCACGAUAGUCGUCGGGGAGCUGCCAAGAAGCGCUGAUCCGGCGGUGUCCGAAUGGGGAAACCCACCCCGCAGAAACUGCGGGGGGUCCCGCAUCUUGUCUAGCCCACUGACUUUGGAAUUAUUCUUGCCGACCGCUGGUAUUUUAGCGGUGACGGAUUGAGAGCUUUCCGAGGUCGGAGGUUAGAAAAGGUGCGGGAGGGGCACGCCCUGAACUGAAACAUCUAAGUAGGGGCAGGAAAAUAAAUCAACGAGAUUCCGUAAGUAAGCGGAGAGCGAAAGCGGAAAAGCCUAAACCAUGUACAGUUACAUGUACGUGGUGUUGCGGGGCAGACGAUAUGGGAUUGGAUGAGGAGUAGUUGAAUCCUGUGGAAACAGGAGCCAAAGAGCGUGACAGCCGCGUAAGCGAAACUUCCGUCCACCUUAGUUUGUACCCAAGUACCAUGAAGAACAUACUUUGUGGGAAUCCGGGGUAACCACACUCCAAGGCUAAAUACUUUAGCAUACCGAUAGUGAACCAGUACCGUGAGGGAAAGGUGAAAAGAAGGGUUAAAAACCUAGUGAAAUAGAACCUGAAAUUGUCUGCUAUCAAGCAGUGAGAGCCCCUCCGCAAGGUCGGGGUGAUCGCGUGCCUAUUGAAGAAUGAUCCGGCGAGUUUUCGAUUGCUGCAAGUUUAACCCCGCUAAGCGGGGGGAGGCGUAGGGAAACCGAGUCUUAACAGGGCGAAAUACCAGCAGCAGUUGGAAGACCCGAAACCUGGUGAGCUAACCAUGAGCAGGGUGAGUCCCGCCGAAAGGCGGGAGGAGGCCCGAACCCGUCAGAGUUACAAAUCUGUGGGAUGACUUGUGGUUAGGGGUAAUAUGCCAAUCGAACCAGGAGAUAGCUGGCUCUCCCCGAAAUAUAUAUAGGUAUAGCCUCAAAGCCAACUGACAUGAGGUAGAGCACUGGAUGGGCCGGGCGGCGCAAGCCGUCCUGUUCAAUCAAACUCCGAAUUCGUGUCAGAGUACUUUGGGAGUCAGAACGACCCGGCUAAGCGGGCCGCUCAAAAGGGAAACAACCCAGACUGUCGUCUAAGGCCUCUAAAUGGAUGCUUAGUGUUGAACGCAGUCGAAUUCCUCAGACAGCCAGGAGGUUGGCUCAGAAGCAGCCAUCCUUUAAAGAAAGCGUAACAGCUCACUGGUCGAUUUGGGAGUUCGGCGCGGAAAAUGAACCGAGGCUGAAGCAUCCUGCCGAAGAUACAGAUUUCCCCGCAUUUUGCGGGGGAGUGGUAGGGGAGCGUUGAGGGAGCGGUGAAGGCCAGCCGUAAGGCGAACUGGAGCGACCUCAAGUGAGAAUGCCGGAAUGAGUAGCGUAAUCCCAGUGAGAAUCUGGGACGCCGAAUACCCAAGGUUUCCUCCGCGACAUUGUUUGACGGAGGGUGAGUCGGCACCUAAGGCGAGGCCGCAGAGGGCGUAGCCGAUGGACGAGACGUAAAUAUUCGUCUACAUGGAAAAUGUCGUUAUCAGCUAGGGAUGGACAAAGUGAGAGCAGCCAAACGCGUGCAGUGAAUGCGGCGUCUAAGCAGUAAGACAGUCGGUCCUGUAAAACGCGGACCGGUGUUUAAUCGAACUGUGACGGGAAGUUUGAAGAGAAAUCAACGAACAACUUGGUGCGCUUUUGUUUUCAAGAAAAGAUUCGUAGUGAGACAUUUUUUAUGCCGUACCGCAAACCGACACUGGUGGGUGGGUCGAGUAGACCAAGGCGAUCGGGAGAAGGUAGUUCAAGGAACUCGGCAAAAAAGCUGGACGUAAGUUUGCAAGAUGUCCUGCCCGCCGCAAGGCGGGCCGCAGCUAAAGCUUAUUCCUCGACUGUUUAACUAAAACACAGGUCUGUGCGAACUCGAAAGAGGCGGUAUACAGGCUGAUACCUGCCCAGUGCUCGUAAGUUAAGUGGAUGGGUGAUCCCGCAAGGGUUAGCCUUGAAAUGAAGCUCGAGUGAACGGCAGCAGUAACUAUGACAUGAACUGUUCUAUGGUAGCGAAGUUCCUUGUCGGGUAAGUUCCGACCCGCACGAAAGGUUUAACGAGGGAAUAACUGUCUUGAACUAUCACCCGGCGAAAUUGAAAUGGCUGUGAAGAUGCGGCCUAACUCUACUAGGACAAAAAGACCCUAUGGAGCUUUACUGUAUCCAGGCCCUGUUUUGGGCUUUGGGAUUGUUUAGAGUAGGAGGGACCACGUUCAGUUAAAUGAACGUGGAAAAGUGAAACACCUCUCGUUUUGAAGUCACAAAACUAACCCACAUGUGCUGGAAUCGCACAUGGAGACAAGGUCUGGUUGGCAGUUUUACUGGGGAGGUAUCCUGCUAAAAGGUAACGCAGGAGUACAAAGGUGCACUAGGCUCGGAUGGAAAUCGAGCGAGUCGUGUAACGGCAUAAGUGCGCUUGACUGUGAGAGCGGCAGCUCGAGCAGGUGCGAAAGCAGGUCGUAGUGAUCCUCGGAUCCCUCGUGGGAGGGACCGGGCUUAACGGAUAAAAGCUACCCUAGGGAUAACAGGCUGAUCGCCGCCAAGAGUCCAUAUCGACGCGGCGGUUUGGCACCUCGAUGUCGGCUCAUCCUAUCCUGGAGGGGCAGUACCUUCCAAGGGUCCGGCUGUUCGCCGGUUAAAAGGGUACGCGAGCUGGGUUCA
RNAcentral lists this ribosomal RNA (2718 nucleotides) under Candidatus Amesbacteria bacterium GW2011_GWC1_47_15. RNAcentral describes it as "bacterial LSU rRNA". It matches the Rfam family "Bacterial large subunit ribosomal RNA", at positions 13 to 2613 of the family's 2925-position model. The record is from RNAcentral. Lineage: Bacteria; Candidatus Amesiibacteriota.